GCCUAUACAUGCAGUCGAACGGUGUCUUCGGACAUAGUGGCGCACGGGUGCGUAACACGUAUGCAACCUACCUUACAUUGGGGGAUAGCCUUUCGAAAGGGAGAUUAAUACCGCAUAAGACAGUAACUUGGCAUCAAGUAGCUGUUAAAGAUUUAUCGAUGUAAGCUGGGCAUGCGUCCAAUUAGCUAGUUGGUGAGGUAACGGCUCACCAAGGCUAUGAUUGGUAGGGGAACUGAGAGGUCAAUCCCCCACACUGGCACUGAGAUACGGGCCAGACUCCUACGGGAGGCAGCAGUAGGGAAUAUUGGGCAAUGGACGCAAGUCUGACCCAGCCAUGCCGCGUGCAGGAUGAAGGCGUUAUGCGUUGUAAACUGCUUUUAUACAGGAAGAAACGACUCUUGCGAGAGGCAUUGACGGUACUGUAUGAAUAAGCACCGGCUAACUCCGUGCCAGCAGCCGCGGUAAUACGGAGGGUGCAAGCGUUGUCCGGAUUUAUUGGGUUUAAAGGGUGCGCAGGUGGUUUAUUAAGUCAGUGGUGAAAGACGGUCGCUCAACGAUUGCAGUGCCAUUGAAACUGGUAGACUUGAGUAAAGUAGAGGUGGGCGGAAUUGAUAGUGUAGCGGUGAAAUGCAUAGAUAUUAUCAAGAACUCCAAUUGCGUAGGCAGCUCACUUGGCUUUUACUGACACUCAUGCACGAAAGUGUGGGUAUCAAACAGGAUUAGAUACCCUGGUAGUCCACNCUGUAAACGAUGAUAACUAGGUGUCGGCCGAAUCUGGUCGGUGCCNCCAGCGAAAGCGUUAA
This 803-nucleotide ribosomal RNA is filed under the name uncultured Flexibacteraceae bacterium. Its description in RNAcentral is "bacterial SSU rRNA". It matches the Rfam family "Bacterial small subunit ribosomal RNA", at positions 46 to 863 of the family's 1533-position model. The record is from RNAcentral. Lineage: Bacteria; Pseudomonadati; Bacteroidota; Cytophagia; Cytophagales; Cytophagaceae.